UACGUAGGGACCGAGCGUUGUCCGGAUUCAUUGGGCGUAAAGAGCUCGUAGGCGGCCACUCAAGUCGAAUGUGAAACCUCGAGGCUCAACCUCGAGCCUGCAUUCGAUACUGGGCGGCUAGAGUCUGGUAGGGGGAUCUGGAAUUCCUGGUGUAGCGGUGGAAUGCGCAGAUAUCAGGAGGAGCACCGGUGGCGAAGGCGGGAUCCUGGGCCAGUACUGACGCUGAGGAGCGAAAGCGUGGGGAGCAAACAGG
This 253-nucleotide ribosomal RNA is filed under the name uncultured bacterium. RNAcentral's name for it is "partial 16S ribosomal RNA". It matches the Rfam family "Bacterial small subunit ribosomal RNA", at positions 524 to 776 of the family's 1533-position model. The record is from RNAcentral.